AACGAACGCUGGCGGCAGGCCUAACACAUGCAAGUCGAACGCCCUAGCAAUAGGGAGUGGCAGACGGGUGAGUAACGCGUGGGAACGUGCCCUUCGGUUCGGAAUAACUCAGGGAAACUUGAGCUAAUACCGGAUACGUGCGAGAGCAGAAAGAUUUAUCGCCGAAGGAUCGGCCCGCGUCCGAUUAGCUAGUUGGUGAGGUAAUGGCUCACCAAGGCGACGAUCGGUAGCUGGUAUGAGAGGAUGAUCAGCCACACUGGGACUGGGACACGGCCCAGACUCCUACGGGAGGCAGCAGUGGGGAAUAUUGGACAAUGGGCGCAAGCCUGAUCCAGCCAUGCCGCGUGAGUGAUGAGGGCCCUAGGGUUGUAAAGCUCUUUCGCCAGGGACGAUAAUGACGGUACCUGGAUAAGAAGCCCCGGCUAACUUCGUGCCAGCCGCCGCGGUAA
This 449-nucleotide ribosomal RNA is filed under the name uncultured bacterium. RNAcentral's name for it is "partial 16S ribosomal RNA". It matches the Rfam family "Bacterial small subunit ribosomal RNA", at positions 29 to 523 of the family's 1533-position model. The record is from RNAcentral.